CCAAAGGGACAAGAGGUCUCCCCCAAAUCUGCUUCCUUCAGAAAUUCUGGAAGCGUGAGCUCCUGGACUCCUCUGCGGAGCAAAGGUCACACGUUGGGAAUUAAGGGUAAGAAACACCUCCCUUUCUUCCUUGUUCCUUCCAAGACCCUGCUGGAUUGCAGCUGCUUGUCUGCGGGCAAAGAUUUUCCCAGAGCCUGGCUUCAGAUGAGCCCUGUUUGUUCCCACCAGUUUCUCAUGCAGAGAACUCUGGGAACAGCUCCCUUUCCAGCUCCUCAGAGAGUCACUAACUACUUAGAGAAGAAAACUUCCCUCUGGCUGCUCCCAUCUGGGAUCAGAGUGCUUAACGUGUCUUCACAAUUGGAUUUUACCCACAUGCCUUGAGACCCAACAAAAAGCAAGCCACUCCCCCACAAUUCUGGCUCAAGCUGUGUAAGACACUCACUAAGAUUUAAGAAAGUUAUGGUGAGAAGAGAUGAGGGGACUCAGUGAACCAAGGUGUAUUCUUUGUUUUCCUCAAAUGUGGUCUGAGACCCCAAAAGCCUUUAAUCAAUGGCCAAACCCCAAGGUGGGUCUGGCUCAUGGUUAGCAGCAAAUGCAUCUACUACUUACCAUGUGCCAAGUGCAGGGCUAAGUGCUGUGCAUGACUUUUCUCCCCUGUCUUCACAACCCCUUUGAGGCAGCAAAAAAGUAUGAUCUCUUUACCACAAGCAACCAGCAUAGCAGAGAGAAGUAUCUUGCCCACAACCACACAGCCAGUAAGUGGAGGAGCUGGGAUUUGGAUCAGGACACAACCACUUCAGUUGCAAGGGGAGAAGAGAAAUGAAAACUGACAACAACCAAUCCCCAACAGGUUUGGAAGCCAUGGACAAAACCUUCAUUCUGCACGGAGGAGAGGCAGCUUUCUUGCCCAGCUCCCUCCUGGGUCUUCUGCCUGAGUAAAACUGUAUGCUUCUAUCAUGAUUGAACUACUACAGCAUUUGGAGAUUUAUUUGUUGCACUGAGUAGCAUGAGCCCAAUUCUCUACACAGGCACAAACCAGCCAUUCAGGCUCCUUGAGAAGGCCAAGGACACUGAAGGACAAGUAGCUGGUUGUUGGUAACCAGGAGGGACAAAGGCAGGUGCAGAGACUGGAGCAGGGAACUCAGGCCUGUCCAGUAGCGGACAGGCUGAGAAACAGACAGGCUCCUCAUGUCAGGGACAACAGGACUUGAACAACUGCAGAUGAGAAAACAUACAUAGAAUGAUUCCACCAUUUUAGUAUGUCUCCUGCUCUUACAUUAAUACUGUUCCCUCACUUCUUUUCUCUACAGCCAUAAAAUUGCCCAUCCAUAAACAGGCUGAAUAGCCCUUAUGGAAAAUGCUUAGGACAAGAAAUGCUUCUGAUGCCAGAUUUUUUUGAAUAUUUACAUAAACACAAUACUUUGGAGAUGAGACCCAAGUCGAAGCAAAACUUAUUUGUUUCAUAAUCACUAUAUAUGACAGCCUGAAGGCAACUGUAUACAAUAGUCAUGUUUUUACUGCACCUAUGAUUUGACUGCAAUCUGCCACAUGAGGUCAGGUGUGAAAUUUUCCACUUCUUGCAUCAUGUCAGCAUUCAGAGUUUCAGAUUAUAUUUUGGGUUUUCAAGAUUAGGGAUGCUCAAACAACAUCACAUUUAAAAUUGUUAAGGGAAGUGUAUUUGGCCCAGCAGUUAAGCUGCCAAUUGGGACAUCAGUGUCCCACAUCCUAAAGCUGGGUUGGAUAUCCACUCUCAGCUUCAGAUCCCAACUUCUUGUUACUGCAGACUCUGGGAGGCAAUGGAGAUGGCUCAAGUAAUUGGGUUCCUGUCACCCACGUGGGAGACCAGGAUUAUGUGCUUGGUUCUUGCCUUUGACUUGGUUCAGCCUUGCCCAUUCUAAGCCCUUGGAAACCAGUAGACAGUGUAUGAGAGUGUUCUGUGUGUGUGUGUGUGUGUGUGUGUGUUUCUAUGUAUCUGUUUCACUCAAUCUCUCAAACAAUAUAAAAAUUUUAAAUCAUUGAGAAUUUUGGAAGAAUCUAUCAUGGAGCCACCAUCUGCAGCUCUGCUCUCCUAACCUGGCUGGGCACCUGCCUUUAGCCCUGAAUGGGGACUUUUUCUUCUGCCCCAUGACUCUGCUCUGACUUCCAAGCACAUGUUCAUGCAAUGCAUGGUACAAAACACCCUGCCACAAAUGCCCUCCAUGGUGAUGAUGAAAUGAUCUCAGUGCCCGCUUCUGUGGGGGUGUGGUGAAGACUGGGAUCUCCAUUCAUCUGGCUGAAGGUGGAGGACCCCUUUCUCUGUAUGCCUUGCUGCCACCAUUCUCUCCAUUCAUUGAAAGCUUGAAGACAAAACCCAUCAUGUGCCCCUGGUUGUCUGCCCAUCAUCCCAGCCCUGAAUAAACAACAGUUCAUUUGUAAGAGGUUUUUAAUU
This 2428-nucleotide long non-coding RNA is filed under the name Oryctolagus cuniculus (rabbit). RNAcentral's name for it is "lncRNA (ENSOCUG00000030952.1)". The record is from RNAcentral. Lineage: Eukaryota; Metazoa; Chordata; Mammalia; Lagomorpha; Leporidae.